UGGGGAAUAUUGGACAAUGGGCGAAAGCCUGAUCCAGCAAUGCCGCGUGUGUGAAGAAGGCCUUCGGGUUGUAAAGCACUUUCAGUUGGGAGGAAGGGGAUGAUGUUAAUAGCAUCGUUCAUUGACGUUACCGACAGAAGAAGCACCGGCUAACUCUGUGCCAGCAGCCGCGGUAAUACAGAGGGUGCUAGCGUUAAUCGGAAUUACUGGGCGUAAAGCGUGUGUAGGUGGUUAGAUAAGUUAGAUGUGAAAACCCUGGGCUUAACCUGGGAACUGCGUUUAAGACUGUUUAGCUAGAGUACUGUAGAGGGCAGUGGAAUUUCCAGUGUAGCGGUGAAAUGCGUAGAUAUUGGAAGGAACACCAGUGGCGAAGGCGACUGCCUGGAUAGAUACUGACACUGAGACACGAAAGCGUGGGGAGCAAACAGG
This 429-nucleotide ribosomal RNA is filed under the name uncultured bacterium. RNAcentral describes it as "bacterial SSU rRNA". It matches the Rfam family "Bacterial small subunit ribosomal RNA", at positions 355 to 776 of the family's 1533-position model. The record is from RNAcentral.